GUAUUUCUCGAGGCGGAAUAAUCGUAAAAUGUCAAAAACUUGUUAUCAGCUCACCUCAGAUAGGCAAUGCGGUUAAAAGCAUCAAUCGCUUCGGCUGUCUCUAUCGAUCGGCUACUUGAUGAUAAACUAUCUUCAUUUAUACGAUUGAUGGUCAAACGAGAACACUUCUCUAUUGCACACCGUGAUAGCCAUUAAACACUGCAAACGGCAACACUCGACUAACAAAACAACCUACAAUAGCACUGAUAUGGAAUCAACACCUGUUUGCGUAAAGCUAAACCGCUUUGUUUUUUGCGUUCUAGAUUAGUUUACAAUUGAUAGUGUAGUUACUAGUUGAGAUAUAUAUUGGAUUCGCACACAGUGUGUACGCGUUAUCGAAAUGCCACGGUCGAAACGUCGUAAAUAAAGCAGACACGUGCGUUCGGGUCGCGCUCGGACGCUCGACUGACGUCAGGCUCGUGCCGGGGCGGGCGCCUACCCAACGACUACGUUUCGCAUCCGCCCAACCCGCUACGCCAGAAUUACGCUACGAAUUUUAAUAUGCACGAUGAGUGUGCUAUAUCGUGACAUCGGAAAAGUGAAAAGGAAAUCGGUAGCCGGCACAACAGAGACAUGCGUACUUUUAACUCGUUGAUUUUGAUAAACAUACAAGUUUUUUUUUUGCGUCGUUGGAUAAACCAACACCCGGCCCGUGUAGUAAGUGAUUAACCGGAGCGCGUAAAGGUCACAACGCCGUCACCCACCUGGGAUUGAUAUAUCGAGGGUCGACAAUGGAAAACUCUGAACUGAAAAAUGAUAUUGCUUCGCCCUAACAUGUGCAGGUGAGCUCACGGGGCUCAAACCGGAGUGUUGCUAACACUGACCCUAGCAAGACCAGUGCUUCGCAGAAUCACUAUCGGAUCGGAAACGCGACCCACUGAGAAGAUCCGGCGAGAAACAAUUCCAGACAAUUACAUACCUUUAACAUAGUCAAUAUUUUCUGCGACAGCUCGUAGUCGAAGUUGGUGUAUUUGGAGUCGGUCAUGUCGUAGAUGAAGACCAGGCCGGCUCGCUGAGUCUCCAGCGAUUGUAAGGCCACGUCCAACUGGUACACCACACCCUGGACAAAUUAAACUAUUAGACAAAUGAAAUCCUUUAUGUUUUGUUGGGUACAAAACGAACGUUAUUUGAUGGCAAGAAAAACUGUAGAAAAUCUAUAAAGCUGUUUUAAAAUACCUAUAGUUGGCAACACACUUUUUUACUGGUGGUAGGACCUCUUCUGAGUCCGCGCGGGUAGGUACCACCACACUGCCGAACACUACACCAUGACACUAACGAAAAAUAAAUUUUAAUAUGAAAAAUUCGUAUUCUUUGAUUAUCGAACAUAACUAACUAUACAGAUAAAAUUUAUAAUACAAAUAUUAGAUAUUCAAUGUUCACAAUAGCAUCCGUUAGGAAAGAGGAAUAAUAAGGAAAUGUUCUUAAACAGAAACAUCAUACCUUUAUAUAAUUCACAUAAAAAAUAGCCCUUUAUAAUGAGUAACUGAAAGUUCUGAAAGAAUUCCAAAGGACAAUGCCCAAUAAUGGGCCAACUUUGUGUCAAAACUAUUUAUACUUGAAAAACUAUGCCUUGUUUUUUCACGUUGUUUGGUUUAUUUAUCACCCACAUUUCUUUCACCCUGACAUUGUUUUAUAAAAAAUAAAUUAUUUAUUUGAUAACAUCCGAAAACUGAGUACUUCCACCAUUCAUAGUUUUUAAAUUCGCCAAUAGGCAGACAAAAGGCUUAGCCCAUACCACCACUCAUUGUAAACAUAAAUGUUGCCAAACGAAAGAGUUCUUGUGACAUGAACAACAAAUAAUAAAAAAAAGUAAUGGUUAUAAUUCACAGACUUUUUUAGUUUAUUUUUGUUCAAUUCAAUAUUUAUAUAUUGUAAUAAUAAUUAUUACUUAAAACUAUGAAUUAUUUAAUAUUUUUAGACAAUAAUGAAUGAUUCCAUUAGUAAAAAUCUCAAUGGCCCACCAUUACUUAUUCUUAUUAUCUAUGGUCAGAGAGUUUUGGCAGCAACCCGAGUGAAGCGUCACUUGAAGUUUUAUUUUAAUAGUUUAUUGUGAUGUAUAGGUAAUAUAUAAAUUGGGUAUUGUUCUGUGUAUUAUCGUUGUUUACGAUUAUUGAGGCAUUGGAAUAAAACUGUGGCUAAAAUAGCA
Bombyx mori (domestic silkworm) is the source of this 2185-nucleotide long non-coding RNA. RefSeq lists it as uncharacterized. The transcript is spliced from 2 exons. The record is from RefSeq and is a predicted model, not a curated record. NCBI's taxonomy places the organism in Eukaryota, Metazoa, Arthropoda, Insecta, Lepidoptera, Bombycidae.